RNAcentral lists this ribosomal RNA (241 nucleotides) under uncultured bacterium. RNAcentral's name for it is "partial 16S ribosomal RNA". It matches the Rfam family "Bacterial small subunit ribosomal RNA", at positions 95 to 334 of the family's 1533-position model. The record is from RNAcentral.
CCGGCGCACGGGUGAGUAACACGUAUCCAACCUGCCGUCUACUCUUGGCCAGCCCUCUGAAAGGAAGAUUAAUCCAGGAUGGCAUCAUGAGUUCACAUGUCCGCAUGAUUAAAGGUAUUUUCCGGUAGACGAUGGGGAUGCGUUCCAUUAGAUAGUAGGCGGGGUAACGGCCCACCUAGUCAACGAUGGAUAGGGGUUCUGGGAGGAAGGUCCCCCACAUUGGAACUGAGACACGGUCCAA